This 518-nucleotide ribosomal RNA is filed under the name uncultured Desulfobulbus sp. RNAcentral's name for it is "bacterial SSU rRNA". It matches the Rfam family "Bacterial small subunit ribosomal RNA", at positions 903 to 1382 of the family's 1533-position model. Lineage: Bacteria; Pseudomonadati; Thermodesulfobacteriota; Desulfobulbia; Desulfobulbales; Desulfobulbaceae. The record is from RNAcentral.
CGCCUUGCCAGCCCGCUCAGAAACUUAAAGGAAUUGACGGGGGCCCGCACAAGCGGUGGAGUAUGUGGUUUAAUUCGAUGCAACGCGAAGAACCUUACCUGGUCUUGACAUCCCGGAGACCCUUAGGAAACUAGGGGGUGCUUCCAUCUGGAAGAAUCUGGAGACAGGUGCUGCAUGGCUGUCGUCAGCUCGUGUCGUGAGAUGUUGGGUUAAGUCCCGCAACGAGCGCAACCCUUGCCUUUAGUUGCCAGCAGUUCGGCUGGGCACUCUAAAGGGACUGCCGGUGUUAAACCGGAGGAAGGUGGGGAUGACGUCAAGUCCUCAUGGCCUUUAUCGACCACGGGCUACACAACGUAACUACAAUGGGCCGGCACAGCGGGAAGCGGAGGGGCGACCCUGAGCGGAUCCCUUGAAAGCCGGUCCCAGUUCGGAUUGCAGUCUGCAACUCGACUGCAUGAAGUUGGAAUCGCUAGUAAUCGCGGAUCAGCCAAGCCGCGGUGAAUACGUUCCCGGGCCUU